CGGUUGUCAGCAAUGGCAAUAGUGGCGCACGGGUGCGUAACGCGUAACCAACCUACCCGAAUCUGGGGGAUAGCCCGCCGAAAGGCGGAUUAAUACCGCAUAAAACUGCAGGACGGCAUCGUUUAACAGUUAAAGAUUUAUUGGAUUCGGAUGGGGUUGCGUGCCAUUAGCUAGUUGGGGGGGUAACGGCCCACCAAGGCGACGAUGGCUAGGGGAGCUGAGAGGCUGGUCCCCCACACGGGCACUGAGAUACGGGCCCGACUCCUACGGGAGGCAGCAGUAGGGAAUAUUGGGCAAUGGUCGAGAGACUGACCCAGCCAUGCCGCGUGCAGGAUGAAGGCUUUCUGAGUCGUAAACUGCUUUUGCCAGGGAAAAAAAAAGGGGAUGCGUCCUCUACUGACGGUACCUGGUGAAUAAGCACCGGCUAACUCCGUGCCAGCAGCCGCGGUAAUACGGAGGGUGCAAGCGUUGUCCGGAUUUAUUGGGUUUAAAGGGUGCGUAGGCGGCUUUUUAAGUCUGGGGUGAAAGCCCGUUGCUCAACAACGGAACUGCCCUGGAAACUGGAGAGCUUGAGUACAGACGAGGGUGGCGGAAUGGAUACUGUAGCGGUGAAAUGCAUAGAUAGUAUCCAGAACCCCGAUUGCGAAGGCAGCUGCCUAGACUGUAACUGACGCUGAGGCACGAAAGCGUGGGGAGCGAACAGGAUUAGAUACCCUGGUA
Molecule: ribosomal RNA, 720 nt
Filed under: uncultured bacterium
Lineage: Bacteria
Description: bacterial SSU rRNA
Rfam family: Bacterial small subunit ribosomal RNA
Source: RNAcentral